RNAcentral lists this unclassified non-coding RNA (27 nucleotides) under Mus musculus (house mouse). Its description in RNAcentral is "oocyte_clustered_small_RNA8412". The record is from RNAcentral. Lineage: Eukaryota; Metazoa; Chordata; Mammalia; Rodentia; Muridae.
UGAACACACCAGCAAGGGUUGGACAAA